Molecule: transfer RNA, 72 nt
Organism: Loxodonta africana (African savanna elephant)
Lineage: Eukaryota; Metazoa; Chordata; Mammalia; Proboscidea; Elephantidae
Rfam family: tRNA
About the family: Transfer RNA (tRNA) molecules are approximately 80 nucleotides in length. Their secondary structure includes four short double-helical elements and three loops (D, anti-codon, and T loops).
Source: Rfam
GCCCUGGUGACUCAAUGGUUAAGCACUCGGCUGCUAACCAAAAGGUUGAUGGUUCAAACCCACCUAGGGGCU